This 528-nucleotide ribosomal RNA is filed under the name Shigella flexneri. Its description in RNAcentral is "partial 23S ribosomal RNA". It matches the Rfam family "Bacterial large subunit ribosomal RNA", at positions 2393 to 2915 of the family's 2925-position model. The record is from RNAcentral. Lineage: Bacteria; Pseudomonadati; Pseudomonadota; Gammaproteobacteria; Enterobacterales; Enterobacteriaceae.
GCAGGUGCGAAAGCAGGUCAUAGUGAUCCGGUGGUUCUGAAUGGAAGGGCCAUCGCUCAACGGAUAAAAGGUACUCCGGGGAUAACAGGCUGAUACCGCCCAAGAGUUCAUAUCGACGGCGGUGUUUGGCACCUCGAUGUCGGCUCAUCACAUCCUGGGGCUGAAGUAGGUCCCAAGGGUAUGGCUGUUCGCCAUUUAAAGUGGUACGCGAGCUGGGUUUAGAACGUCGUGAGACAGUUCGGUCCCUAUCUGCCGUGGGCGCUGGAGAACUGAGGGGGGCUGCUCCUAGUACGAGAGGACCGGAGUGGACGCAUCACUGGUGUUCGGGUUGUCAUGCCAAUGGCACUGCCCGGUAGCUAAAUGCGGAAGAGAUAAGUGCUGAAAGCAUCUAAGCACGAAACUUGCCCCGAGAUGAGUUCUCCCUGACCCUUUAAGGGUCCUGAAGGAACGUUGAAGACGACGACGUUGAUAGGCCGGGUGUGUAAGCGCAGCGAUGCGUUGAGCUAACCGGUACUAAUGAACCGUGAG